AAACGACUCUCGGCCAACGGAUAUCUC
Molecule: ribosomal RNA, 27 nt
Filed under: Rhododendron benhallii
Lineage: Eukaryota; Viridiplantae; Streptophyta; Magnoliopsida; Ericales; Ericaceae
Description: partial 5.8S ribosomal RNA
Source: RNAcentral